This is a non-coding RNA of Paramisgurnus dabryanus, 708 nucleotides long. The record is from RefSeq and is a predicted model, not a curated record. Lineage: Eukaryota; Metazoa; Chordata; Actinopteri; Cypriniformes; Cobitidae.
GAUGGGGAUUAGACUAGUACUAAACUAAAAUAAAUGUAAGAGCCGUCCAAACUCAAAACAACUUGCACUGACUAUCUUAAAAUACUUCAGUGCCUCUUGUCCUGGCUUAAGCCGAUUCCUGUCCGGGAAACCACCCUAUAAGCAAUAUAUUUAGGAUUAUUUGUCCAAGUUUUUUCAGUUUUUCUGUUUUGUUUUUUAGCAAUUAACCAACCCACUAGUAAGAAGGAUAAAAAGAACGCCAGGCGCGAAAAGUGUGAACAACCUGGACUGAAGAAAGCAAGGCGACCUGUUGAGGAACCUCCAGGGACUUCAUACGAUGAUUUUGACUCUGCUUUAGAAGGCUCAUCUGAAGUGAUUCUUGAAAAUUCUGCUGAAAGGGGUGAUGCAAGAAGAAUACAAAAACGGGUGUGGUCUCCAACAGAAAUCUCUGCUGUCAUGAGACAUUUCAGGAACCACAUUGCAAAGGGUAAACUGGCCACCAAGAUUGAGUGCCUACAAUGCAAAAAUGCAGAGCAUCCUGCUUUAGAUAGUCGCUCUGUUCAAAAUAUAAGAGACUUUGUGAGGAAUCGAGGCUUAACCCUCAAAAGGAAGCAAUUACAAAAUGUUGAAUAAGCACUUUUUUCUGUCAUUUUGUUCAUAUGUAUAAACUAAGUUUUAAACUGUUCAUACACUGCAAAAAAAGAUGUUAAUUUUUUACACAUUGUGUGU